GAAAGAAAGAAAGAAACAAAGAAGCAAAGAAAGGAAGAAAGAAAGAGAAGAGUGAAUGACGGCGUCCAUGUUUGCAGCUGCAGUUGCUUCCAGAUGAAUAAUUGAAGCGCCGUCAGCCCAGGAGGCGCAGGUUGACACUUUUUAUGGCGACGCCUGAAGGGCCUCAUCAUCGGAGAGUGAAACUGCUCCCAGGACUCUGACCUCCAUCUUGUUUGCAGAAAUCCCUCCAGAGCAGCUGGCCGACGGCGGCCUCAUCUGGAACCGCCAUCAGUCGCUUGUUAAACGCCGAGUGCGAGUCGGGUGGGAAUGUGGCAGCAUGCGGUCCCAGCCAAUCCAUAACCAGACACCAGGAACGGAGCACCAGCAUCGCAUCAGGCACCAGUUUUUUUUUAAUUUUUUUAAAGUUUGUGUGGGUGUUUGUGGUCGAUAUAGAAUCUGUACUUCCUCCUCUUUCUCUCAGUCCUGUCUAUGUAAUUGAUCCCAGACUGGACAUUUGAGUUGCCAGCAGCCGUUCAUAUCAUUUUUAUCUUUUAGACAAGCCCUCUACUGCUUCCAGAUGGGGAAAGCACUCCGGGUUCAGGCUUGUUUUUGAAAAAAAUCUAAUGCUUUAAUGUCUUUACCUUGCAAAUGGAGAAACCAACAUGAGUGAAACACAGAUGUGGGUUGCUUUGUGAAGCCUUGAUGCCGACCUGUGGAUCGUUUAUCUUAGAUGCUUAUGUUUAUCUUUGUAAGUGUUUGUUUCUGCGGCCACUGUAAGUGUGAAUGGAUGUUUUGUACACUGCUGACAGUGGCUGUGGUUCAACUCUGUGGAAAACAGCUUGUGCAACAUCCCAGAGUGCCUUCAUGUCAUUCAUUUGUGAUGAUUUGCUUUUAUUCUAUUUCUACACCGAUCUGUGCAAAAUCUGCCAUCACCUGGAAGGAAUAGCUAAGACAAACAUAAUCAUUUUAAGUUUAAGUUUGCUUUUCUCUUGGCAAAAAUCAAAUUUAAAACAUUUGUUUUUGAGUAAUUUGAUGAAAAAAGAACUAUGACAGAACAUUUUCCUCUAAAAUCAAUGCUAUUGAAACAGCUAGCUUACAUUUAACCUCAAAACAGUAAAACCUUUAAUAAUAAAACAUUUUAACGUCAAAUCACCCUAGAUGCUUAUGUUUUAAUCUCCUCCAUUAUAAUGUUAUGAUACAACAAUGCAGUAUUGUUUUUAGCCUUUUGUCACUAGUUGUGCUAGCAGUAGCUUCUAGUAGCAUUAGCUUACCCUGAACUGUAAUAAAAUGUUUUAAAAGCUUCACGUGACACACUGAACCUGAUCCUAUUCA
Molecule: long non-coding RNA, 1311 nt
Organism: Poecilia latipinna (sailfin molly)
Lineage: Eukaryota; Metazoa; Chordata; Actinopteri; Cyprinodontiformes; Poeciliidae
Exons: 3
Source: RefSeq, a predicted model, not a curated record